AGGAAAUAGCUCCCGCGUAUAGACCGUACCCCAAACCGACACAGGUGGACUAGCAGAGUAUGCUGAGGCGCUUGAGAGAAGUAUGCUGAAGGAACUGGGCAAUUUGCCCUCGUAACUUCGGAAGAAGAGGGCCCAACCUACGCGCAAGCGUUGAUUGGGGGCACAGAGCAGGGGGUAGCGACUGUUUACUAAAAACACAGGACUCUGCGAAAUCCAAAGAUGACGUAUAGGGUCUGACGCCUGCCCGGUGCCGGAAGGUUAAGAGGAGAUGUGAAAGCGUCGAAUCGAAGCCCCGGUAAACGGCGGCCGUAACAAUAACGGUCCUAAGGUAGCGAAAUUCCUUGUCGGGUAAGUUCCGACCUGCACGAAAGGCGUAACGACUUCCCCACUGUCUCCAGCAUAUGCUCAGCGAAGUUGAAUUCCCCGUGAAGAUGCGGGGUACCCGCGGUCAGGCGGAAAGACCCCGUGCACCUUUACUGCAGCUUUGCACUGGCAUUAGGGAUGGAUUGCGUAGGAUAGGUGGUAGGCUUUGAAGUCUAGGCUCUGGCUUGGAUGGAGCCACCCUUGAAAUACCACCCUGUUUGUUCCUGAUGUCUAACCGCGAUUCGAAACAGGGUCCGGAACCAUGCAUGGCGGGCAGUUUGACUGGGGCGGUCGCCUCCCAAAGAGUAACGGAGGCGCGCAAUGGUAAGCUCAGGCCGGUCGGAAAUCGGCUGUUGAGUGCAAUGGCACAAGCUUGCCUGACUGCAAGGCUGACAAGCCAAGCAGAGUCGAAAGACGGUCAUAGUGAUCCGGUGGUCCCGCGUGGAAGGGCCAUCGCUCAACGGAUAAAAGGUACGCCGGGGAUAACAGGCUGAUGAUCCCCAAGAGUCCAUAUCGACGGGAUCGUUUGGCACCUCGAUGUCGGCUCAUCACAUCCUGGGGCUGGAGCAGGUCCCAAGGGUAUGGCUGUUCGCCAUUUAAAGUGGUACGUGAGCUGGGUUUAGAACGUCGUGAGGCAGUUCGGUCCCUAUCUGUCGUGGGUGUUCGAGACUUGAGAGGAUUUCUUCCUAGUACGAGAGGACCGGAAGGAACGCACCUCUGGUGGAUCGGUUGUCGCGCCAGCGGCACUGCCGAGUAGCUAUGUGCGGAAUAGAUAACCGCUGAAAGCAUCUAAGCGGGAAACUAACCUCAAAACCAGGUCUCGCUGAGAGCCGUGGAAGACUACCACGUUGAUAGGCUGGGCGUGUAAGCGCAGCAAUGCGUUGAGCUUACCAGUCCUAAUCGCCCAAAAAG
RNAcentral lists this ribosomal RNA (1275 nucleotides) under metagenome. RNAcentral describes it as "bacterial LSU rRNA". It matches the Rfam family "Bacterial large subunit ribosomal RNA", at positions 1610 to 2925 of the family's 2925-position model. The record is from RNAcentral.